RNAcentral lists this long non-coding RNA (332 nucleotides) under Vigna radiata. RNAcentral's name for it is "long non-coding RNA (VRAD_LNC011903)". Lineage: Eukaryota; Viridiplantae; Streptophyta; Magnoliopsida; Fabales; Fabaceae. The record is from RNAcentral.
UGACUCUUAGUCAUGUCAAUAAGAAUUGACUGUUCAGCAGCAUUUAACCUCCCCGCAUAAGGAUGACCGACCAAAGUCUCGGCUAAUUCAUGGUUGUGAUAACCACACAUAACCUUUAACACCCAACCGUGUCCUUUAGGUUUACCCCUCAACUUAAAUGGACACUCACAUUUUCUCGUGCCAAACACACUAGGUUGCACGUCUUGCUUAUACUUCCUAUAUUUCCCACUCCUUUCACAGCCUAACACAACGAAUGUCUUUCUUCCAGGUUCACCAGUUGCUGUGUCAGAUCUUAUGAUGACGACCACAAAUCCAAGCUGAAAUGCAAUCUU